RNAcentral lists this transfer RNA (73 nucleotides) under Clostridiales bacterium. RNAcentral's name for it is "tRNA-Ala". It matches the Rfam family "tRNA". From Rfam's summary of the family: Transfer RNA (tRNA) molecules are approximately 80 nucleotides in length. The record is from RNAcentral. RNAcentral also lists the same sequence under 2 other names. Lineage: Bacteria; Bacillati; Bacillota; Clostridia; Eubacteriales.
GGGGAUGUAGCUCACUUGGGAGAGCGCUUGAAUGGCAUUCAAGAGGUGGGGGGUUCGAUUCCCCUCAUCUCCA